RNAcentral lists this transfer RNA (71 nucleotides) under Marmota monax (woodchuck). It matches the Rfam family "tRNA". Rfam says of the family: Transfer RNA (tRNA) molecules are approximately 80 nucleotides in length. Their secondary structure includes four short double-helical elements and three loops (D, anti-codon, and T loops). Further hydrogen bonds mediate the characteristic L-shaped molecular structure. tRNAs have two regions of fundamental functional importance: the anti-codon, which is responsible for specific mRNA codon recognition, and the 3' end, to which the tRNAs corresponding amino acid is attached (by aminoacyl-tRNA synthetases). tRNAs cope with the degeneracy of the genetic code in two manners: having more than one tRNA (with a specific anti-codon) for a particular amino acid; and 'wobble' base-pairing, i.e. permitting non-standard base-pairing at the 3rd anti-codon position. Lineage: Eukaryota; Metazoa; Chordata; Mammalia; Rodentia; Sciuridae. The record is from Rfam by way of RNAcentral.
GGGGUUGUAGCUUAGUGGUUGAACACUUGCCUCACAUGCAUGAGGCACUGGGUUUGAUCCUCAGCACUUCA